UUGAACGCUGGCGGCGUGCUUAACACAUGCAAGUCGAUCGGUAACAGGUGUAGCAAUACAUGCUGACGAGAGGCGGACGGGUGAGUAAUGCUUGGGAAUCUGCCUAUUAGUGGGGGACAACCCGGGGAAACUCGGGCUAAUACCGCAUACGCUCUACGGAGGAAAGCCGGGGACCGCAAGGCCUGGCGCUAAUAGAUGAGCCCAAGUCGGAUUAGCUAGUUGGUAGGGUAACGGCCUACCAAGGCGACAAUCCGUAGCUGGUCUGAGAGGACGACCAGCCACACCGGAACUGAGACACGGUCCGGACUCCUACGGGAGGCAGCAGUGGGGAAUAUUGGACAAUGGGGGCAACCCUGAUCCAGCGACGCCGCGUGGGUGAAGAAGGCCUGCGGGUUGUAAAAGCCCUUUCGGUGGGGAAGAAAAGUCUCGACCUAAUACGUCGGGACCUUGACGUAA
This 456-nucleotide ribosomal RNA is filed under the name uncultured bacterium. Its description in RNAcentral is "bacterial SSU rRNA". It matches the Rfam family "Bacterial small subunit ribosomal RNA", at positions 29 to 477 of the family's 1533-position model. The record is from RNAcentral.